GAUGAACGCUGGCGGCGUGCCUAAUACAUGCAAGUCGAGCGAACAGAUAAGGAGCUUGCUCCUUUGACGUUAGCGGCGGACGGGUGAGUAACACGUGGGUAACCUACCUAUAAGACUGGAAUAACUCCGGGAAACCGGGGCUAAUGCCGGAUAACAUGUUGAACCGCAUGGUUCUAUAGUGAAAGGCGGCUUUGCUGUCUCUUAUAGAUGGUCCCGCGCCGUAUUAGCUAGUUGUUGAGGUAACGGCUUACCAAGGCAACGAUACGUAGCCGACCUGAGAGGGUGAUCGGCCACACUGGAACUGAGACACGGUCCAGACUCCUACGGGAGGCAGCAGUAGGGAAUCUUCCGCAAUGGGCGAAAGCCUGACGGAGCAACGCCGCGUGAGUGAUGAAGGUCUUCGGAUCGUAAAACUCUGUUAUUAGGGAAGAACAAAUGCGUAAGUAACUGUGCGCGUCUUGACGGUACCUAAUCAGAAAGCCACGGCUAACUACGUG
Molecule: ribosomal RNA, 497 nt
Filed under: uncultured bacterium
Lineage: Bacteria
Description: partial 16S ribosomal RNA
Rfam family: Bacterial small subunit ribosomal RNA
Source: RNAcentral